UACCUCACCUCCCAAAUCAGGUCCCUGAAAUCUGUUUGGAAAAUAACCACAGGCCUGAAUCCCCGUGGAAGUGGCUGCUGAGCAUACAGUCCCUGCUGUCUGGAAUUCUAUCAGCAUCAUCAUUUCUCAUCAACAUCGAGAAAUGUUUUACAUCAAACCAUUAUGCAAUCCUCCCCAACUGGGCUGCCAUUCAUCUUCAUCUCUCCUAAGUCAGGAUCCUCCCAGCCAAAAGAAAUGAAAAAUAUCACCUCCUCCAGGAAGCCUCUCUUUCCCUGUGAGGAAUCGUUUCAUUAAACUGUGAAAUGUCUCCCAAGAAAAGCACAGUAUAUGUGGGGAGUUCAGAAGAAAAGGAAUCCUAUGAUUUUGGAGCAGGGGAUCAGAGAAGGCUUCGUGGAAGAGAUGCCACUACACCUGGUUUGUAAGGGUCAGGUAUGAGUCGAGGAAGCAGUGAUCAGGAGACAGACCGUCCAACCAUGAGCCCAGUGAUAAAUGGGGAACAUUUCCAUACUUCCUUCUUGGGGCUCCAACGAGAAUUACAGGCAUUUGCUGGAUAGUCCCACUGGAAAUGAACAGAAAAGGAAGCUUGGAGAAAGCUGGGGUGGAUCCAAGGAGUAGGAUGCCACCCUCUUGUUCUAGAUGGUUUAACUUGUGUGAGCUCCGUCUCUGCUCCCUAAAGAGCUGG
Long non-coding RNA from Lagenorhynchus albirostris (white-beaked dolphin), 682 nucleotides. RefSeq lists it as uncharacterized. NCBI's taxonomy places the organism in Eukaryota, Metazoa, Chordata, Mammalia, Artiodactyla, Delphinidae. The record is from RefSeq and is a predicted model, not a curated record. The transcript is spliced from 4 exons.